AGCACCCCGGGCGGGGCGAGGCGUCCGGCGCCGUCGGCGACGUAGACGCGGUAGCCGGGCAGCGGCCGUCCGAUCGGGACGGACUGCUGCUC
This 92-nucleotide transfer RNA is filed under the name Catellatospora sp. TT07R-123. RNAcentral describes it as "tRNA-Asp". The record is from RNAcentral. Lineage: Bacteria; Bacillati; Actinomycetota; Actinomycetes; Micromonosporales; Micromonosporaceae.